Molecule: long non-coding RNA, 842 nt
Organism: Beta vulgaris subsp. vulgaris (sugar beet)
Lineage: Eukaryota; Viridiplantae; Streptophyta; Magnoliopsida; Caryophyllales; Amaranthaceae
Exons: 2
Source: RefSeq, a predicted model, not a curated record
UUUCCCUUUAAUUCUUUUCCCCUUUGUCGGUUUGUUUAUGUGGAGCAAAACCUCAACUCUUCUUUCAUUAUCCUCAUGACUCUCCAAGGAACCACCGAAACCCCAAAUCAGAUUUUCUCUUUCUCCUCCCCGUGAACCCUUCGUUUCUCUCACGCUCGCCUGCGUCACGCCUCUCCGGCGUUUUUCAAGGCUGCCGGAAAUCUGCAUCACUCUGUUCUCCUCUGUUUCGUUGCUGCUAGUGUUGUUCGUGGGUGUUCCCCCUGUGUUGCUGCUCCUCGUACGUCGCGUCGCACCACGACCGCAGUUUCGUCGGAGCUUUCUCUUCCCUCGUCCGCGCUACAGUGGUUCGCGGUUUCUCUCUCUUUGUUCGCCUUGUGGCUGGUGGUUCUCCCUCCUCCCUCCCGUGGUGUUGUUUUCGGCGCUGCUGUUGAGUGGUGCUGCGCCACCACCGCGCACCACAACUGCUACUGCUGGCCUUACUUCUCUCUUUUCGCGUUGCUGUGUUCCUGCGCUGCCGCCGUCGUGGCGUGGGACUCGCCACGCGAGCUGGUCGAGUUUCCCCCUCGAUGUAUCUUAUAUGUUUCAGGUUGAAACCGUGAGUUAUUCUUGUGCAAGCUGAAGCGGAUACGAGAUGGUGCAGUAUUAUAUUUGUUAUUGAAGUGAGGACGCUCCACUUGUAAUAGUUAAAUCGUUUAUUUUCUAUAAUGUAUUUUCUUCAUUUAAGAACCGUUAGCUAGUGCUCCUGAUUCUCUGUUGGUUGUUGCUCCGCGAAAGCGUUGAGGUUGUUGAGCUUUGGGAUUUGGAAAUAUUUUAUAAAUUGAAAUUGCAACAGGUUCAUAUUA